UGCGAAGCGAAGCAGCGAUGUGAAGCAAAUCGCACCAAAGCCGGUCCCAGUUCGGAUAAGAGGCUGAAACUCGCCUCUUUGAAGUCGGAAUCGCUAGUAAUCGCAGAUCAGCAUGUUGCGGUGAAUACGUUUCCUGGUCUUGUACACACCGCCCGUCAAACCAUGAGAGUCGCCAACACCCGAAGUCCGCUUUGCGGCCUAAGGUGGGGGAGAUGAUUGGGGUUAAGUCGUAACAAGGUAGC
RNAcentral lists this ribosomal RNA (242 nucleotides) under uncultured bacterium. RNAcentral's name for it is "partial 16S ribosomal RNA". It matches the Rfam family "Bacterial small subunit ribosomal RNA", at positions 1243 to 1500 of the family's 1533-position model. The record is from RNAcentral.